UGGGGAAUAUUGGACAAUGGGCGAAAGCCUGAUCCAGCCAUGCCGCGUGUGUGAAGAAGGUCUUCGGAUUGUAAAGCACUUUAAGUUGGGAGGAAGGGCAGUAAGCGAAUACCUUGCUGUUUUGACGUUACCGACAGAAUAAGCACCGUCUAACUCUGUGCCAGCAGCCGCGGUAAUACAGAGGGUGCAAGCGUUAAUCGGAAUUACUGGGCGUAAAGCGCGCGUAGGUGGUUCGUUAAGUUGAAUGUGAAAGCCCCGGGCUCAACCUGGGAACUGCAUCCAAAACUGGCGAGCUAGAGUAGGGCAGAGGGUGGUGGAAGUUCCUGUGUAGCGGUGAAAUGCGUAGAUAUAGGAAGGAACACCAGUGGCGAAGGCGACCACCUGGGCUCAUACUGACACUGAGGUGCGAAAGCGUGGGGAGCAAACAGG
Molecule: ribosomal RNA, 429 nt
Filed under: Pseudomonadota bacterium
Lineage: Bacteria; Pseudomonadati; Pseudomonadota
Description: Proteobacteria bacterium partial 16S ribosomal RNA
Rfam family: Bacterial small subunit ribosomal RNA
Source: RNAcentral